Molecule: ribosomal RNA, 528 nt
Filed under: uncultured bacterium
Lineage: Bacteria
Description: partial 16S ribosomal RNA
Rfam family: Bacterial small subunit ribosomal RNA
Source: RNAcentral
UGGGGAAUAUUGCACAAUGGGCGCAAGCCUGAUGCAGCAACGCCGCGUGAGGGAUGACGGCCUUCGGGUUGUAAACCUCUUUUAGCAGGGAAGAAGCGAAAGUGACGGUACCUGCAGAAAAAGCGCCGGCUAACUACGUGCCAGCAGCCGCGGUAAUACGUAGGGCGCAAGCGUUAUCCGGAAUUAUUGGGCGUAAAGAGCUCGUAGGCGGUUUGUCGCGUCUGCUGUGAAAUCCCGAGGCUCAACCUCGGGUCUGCAGUGGGUACGGGCAGACUAGAGUGCGGUAGGGGAGAUUGGAAUUCCUGGUGUAGCGGUGGAAUGCGCAGAUAUCAGGAGGAACACCGAUGGCGGAGGCAGAUCUCUGGGCCGUAACUGACGCUGAGGAGCGAAAGGGUGGGGAGCAAACAGGCUUAGAUACCCUGGUAGUCCACCCCGUAAACGUUGGGAACUAGUUGUGGGGUCCAUUCCACGGAUUCCGUGACGCAGCUAACGCAUUAAGUUCCCCGCCUGGGGAGUACGGCCGCAAGG